Molecule: small RNA, 354 nt
Filed under: Arabidopsis thaliana (thale cress)
Lineage: Eukaryota; Viridiplantae; Streptophyta; Magnoliopsida; Brassicales; Brassicaceae
Description: ATSL166740
Source: RNAcentral
ACAAAAAAAAAGAGAAAAACCGGAAAAAAAGAGGGAUGAUCGCAUCUGUACUACUCUCGCCCAAGCACACUUAACUGCGGAGUUCUGUUGGGAUCCGGUGCAUUAGUGCUGGUAUGAUCGCAUGUGUUACUACAUGCAAUGCAAUCGUAUCUAUUCUUUUUUAAAGACUUUAUGAUCCAUUUGCCGUGGGUCCUACCAGCUAUGUAGGAAUACCCUAUCUUCUUUAUAAGAGCUUUGAUACAUGCAAAAUAUUGGAAAACAAUGUUCGAACAUAUAAUUUUCGCCUCGUAAUAUAGCAAAGAUCACGAAAAGACCCGAAAAAGAACAUUAAGGUCAAAAUUAAGAGUAUAAAAA